UUAGAUACCCCACUAUGCUUAGCCUUAAACGUAAAUGAUUUUAUAACAAAAUAAUUCGCCAGAGAACUACUAGCAACAGCUUAAAACUCAAAGGACUUGGCGGUGCUUUAUAUCCCUCUAGAGGAGCCUGUUCUA
Molecule: ribosomal RNA, 135 nt
Filed under: Lycalopex gymnocercus (Pampas fox)
Lineage: Eukaryota; Metazoa; Chordata; Mammalia; Carnivora; Canidae
Description: partial small subunit ribosomal RNA
Source: RNAcentral